GGACCCGCACAAGUAGUGGAGCAUGUGGUUUAAUUCGAAGAUACGCGCAGAACCUUACCAACACUUGACAUGUUCGUCGCGACUCUAAGAGAUUAGAGUUUUCGGUUCGGCCGGACGAAACACAGGUGCUGCAUGGCUGUCGUCAGCUCGUGUCGUGAGAUGUUGGGUUAAGUCCCGCAACGAGCGCAACCCUCACUUUUUAGUUGCCAUCAUUAAGUUGGGCACUCUGAAAGAACUGCCAGUGAUAAGCUGGAGGAAGGUGGGGAUGACGUCAAGUCCUCAUGGCCCUUACGUGUUGGGCUACACACGUGCUACAAUGGCAGUGACAAUGGGUUAAUCCCAAAAAGCUGUC
Molecule: ribosomal RNA, 352 nt
Filed under: uncultured bacterium
Lineage: Bacteria
Description: bacterial SSU rRNA
Rfam family: Bacterial small subunit ribosomal RNA
Source: RNAcentral